Molecule: ribosomal RNA, 517 nt
Filed under: uncultured fungus
Lineage: Eukaryota; Fungi
Description: SSU rRNA
Rfam family: Eukaryotic small subunit ribosomal RNA
Source: RNAcentral
AUUAAAAACCAAUGCCCUUCGGGGCUCUCUGGUGAUUCAUAAUAACUUCUCGAAUCGCACGGCCUUGCGCCGGCGAUGGUUCAUUCAAAUUUCUGCCCUAUCAACUUUCGACGGCUGGGUCUUGGCCAGCCGUGGUGACAACGGGUAACGGAGGGUUAGGGCUCGACCCCGGAGAAGGAGCCUGAGAAACGGCUACUACAUCCAAGGAAGGCAGCAGGCGCGCAAAUUACCCAAUCCCGACACGGGGAGGUAGUGACAAUAAAUACUGAUACAGGGCUCUUUCGGGUCUUGUAAUUGGAAUGAGUACAAUUUAAAUCCCUUAACGAGGAACAAUUGGAGGGCAAGUCUGGUGCCAGCAGCCGCGGUAAUUCAGCUCCAAUAGCGUAUAUUAAAGUUGUUGAGGUUAAAAAGCUCGUAGUUGAACCUUGGGCCUAGCCGGCCGGUCCGCCUCACCGCGUGCACUGGCUCGGCUGGGUCUUUCCUUCUGGAGAACCGCAUGCCCUUCACUGGGUGUGCC